This 374-nucleotide ribosomal RNA is filed under the name uncultured prokaryote. RNAcentral's name for it is "bacterial SSU rRNA". It matches the Rfam family "Bacterial small subunit ribosomal RNA", at positions 524 to 896 of the family's 1533-position model. The record is from RNAcentral.
UACGGGGGGUGCAAGCGUUAUUCGGAUUUAUUGGGCGUAAAGAGCGCGUAGGCGGUUCUUUAAGUCAGGUGUGAAAGCCCGGGGCUUAACCCCGGAAGUGCAUUUGAUACUAGAGAACUUGAGUAUGGGAGAGGGAAGUGGAAUUCCUGGUGUAGAGGUGAAAUUCGUAGAUAUCAGGAGGAACACCGGUGGCGAAGGCGACUUCCUGGACCAAUACUGACGCUGAGGCGCGAAGGCGUGGGGAGCAAACAGGAUUAGAUACCCUGGUAGUCCACGCAGUAAACGUUGAACACUAGGUGUAGCGGGUAUUGACCCCUGCUGUGCCGCAGUUAACGCAUUAAGUGUUCCGCCUGGGAAGUACGGUCGCAAGAUUA